UGUUCUAAGCUAGACUUGGUUUGUGCACUCAGUGCGUCCUGCGCCGUCCACCGAGUAGGACGUGUCGCUGUUUCGCGGCGCCCCGAGGUGCUAGGGCUUCGCCCCCGUCUGCAAGCUGCAGAGCAGAGCGCCAAGCACGAAUAACUAUCGCAUUCGUAAUGUAAACGUAUCGAGAUGACGAUACGUCAUGAGACGUUAACGGAGUGUGGCAGCACGAAGCCUAUUCUUUCAACUAUCGAGAGCUCGCAUCGAAUUCGAUAGUGACGUCAUGCUAAUGUAAACUAGAGAAGCAGCCAAGUGAACGAUUUGAAUGACUUAUUGAGCAUAAAGAUUUCGUCUGAAAACUAAAUUAAAUUUAUAUAUAUAUUUCAACCUUUGUCUACACGUUUUAUGAAAUAAUAUUUAUUAAAUAAAUAUUAAUUAUGUGCAAAAAGUUCUUAAAGCGAGUUAAGACAAAUAUAACGUGACAUUAUCUAUGAAAAAAAAAUAAGUACUUAGUUUCAUAAAUUUAUAUUUUUUUUUAUGAUUUCCGAACUUCGUAUUUGACAUCACCGCCGACAUUUGUCAUUUACCGGUUGUUUGUUUGUUAUUUUAUCUUAUGUAAAUAAAUAACAAUUUUAACAUGUUACAUUUAAAAUGAGGACGAUUCAACUCCAAUAUGAGCUAAUGGUGGAAUUUAUGCAAAAAUUGGAAUAUUUGUGGGACCAGCCCAAUAUUACUGGGAGCAGUGGGCCUACUGUAUUCCUACCACACCACUCACUGUUUCUCACGAAGCCUACCCUUCGCCAGCGCCUCCACCAACACCACCGAUCCUCCAUUCGAGGAAGAUAGCUGGAAUCCUCCACCAGUGAAAAAACCUAAAGCGAGUUUGAUUAAAAUGUGUAUAGAGAAUGACAAGAAUGCUAUGCUAAGGAGCGUGAGAAAGCGUCUCUCCUAAUAAAAUGUAAUUAAAUUAAUUAAAUAAAUUGUAAAAAUCCACUUUGCUGUGCCCGACAGGGUCCAUAAUUGAUUCUAUGUUUAACAUACCAACUGUUUUUAUGUACACAUUAUGGCAUGCAAUAAAGUAUUGAGUAUUGAGAAA
Spodoptera frugiperda (fall armyworm) is the source of this 1081-nucleotide long non-coding RNA. RefSeq lists it as uncharacterized. The record is from RefSeq and is a predicted model, not a curated record. The transcript is spliced from 2 exons. Lineage: Eukaryota; Metazoa; Arthropoda; Insecta; Lepidoptera; Noctuidae.